GAUAUAUAUAAGUUAUAAUUGAAACCCUAGUUAUAAGAAAAGAGAACUUAGGUUUCCAUUUUGGUUUUCCCGAAUCCUUUCCCUCUCCUCACCUUUCUCGUGCGACGACGGCGACCUCUUUUUCCCGGUCCUUCUUCCUCCGCCCGACGGCGGCCUGCCACGCAGACAGCCACGCAUGUAGAGGCCGACGCCCCGACAACCUUAUGCUCUUCUCCCAGCGACCUCCUCUGUCCGAUGUCGUGCCUUCCUCCGCCGCCCUUCUCCCUGCGACUCCCUGUGACCGACACUGUCAGAGCCGCAUCGCCACUUCCAGCCGUUCACAUCCAGGUAGUAGGGUCGGGGUGGGGGUUGCCAGAGGUUGAGACGUUGUCGACUGCCCCAAACCCAUUGAGAUCCGUUGCCUCUGCCAGCCUCGGUCAGCCACUGCCGAAGAAGAAGAAGCCAAGGUGAGGUUGGUGAGUUAACCCUCAUCCAAGAAGGCACCAUCACCGAAGCCUAAUUCCUCUCUUCCUCCUUUCGCGUGCGCGACAAUUCUGCUUGAGCUAAUCGGAAAGCUCUCUUCGGUUGUAAGUCCAAGAACACGAAGGAUACAGGAAAGGAAAAGAUUUAGCAACAAAAGGCGACAAGGUGGCGCGGAUGAUGUGUGAUGCCAGGACUAUGGAAGUCUUGGGACAUAGUUUAGGAAUUUGUUAGAUAAAUUCUGUAUAUAAGUUGAUAAGAAAAUUUUGGAGUAGGAAGCUGUAAUUUAUUUUGUUCCGCUAUUCAUUACUUGCAUGAUUUGAUUUUAUUAAACUGCGUGGUGAUGUUA
Long non-coding RNA from Zingiber officinale, 808 nucleotides. RefSeq lists it as uncharacterized. The transcript is spliced from 3 exons. The record is from RefSeq and is a predicted model, not a curated record. Lineage: Eukaryota; Viridiplantae; Streptophyta; Magnoliopsida; Zingiberales; Zingiberaceae.